UGAAGACAGAAGACAGGAGAGUGGCACCCUGGAGCCAAGGAGUGCCAGAGACAGCCGUAAGCCACCAGCAGCUGGGGAGAGACUGGGCAGACUCCCCACCAUCCUUGAUGUCCACAGCUGCUCUCCAGAACCUCAAAACCACAAAUCUGCACUAUGGUAAGCCACCUGGUCUGCGGUGCCUUGCAGUGGCCGUCCUAGGGAACGACCCGUCCUUGCCUGUCCUGAGAUUGUGGGUCUGCACUUCUCCCAGUCCACUGCUUUCUGCUCUUGUGUUUGAGACUUUAUUCAGGGGUCCCCCUGGUACACUUCCCCUGUCAUCAUCCUCAGUCCCUCUUCAUCCCUGGAGGACUCUUGCCAGGUGUGCUAUGCCCCUCACUCAUGGCCAGUCCUGUAUCCUUUCAUGGGCAUUUCUGUGGGGACACAUCCAUCCUUCCUUGGGACCUCCUUGUCAUUACUUGCAUGAGGCCUUCCUGUAGUUGGGUCCUGGUUUAUAUGGUGCUGAGGAUGGAACCCAGUGCCUCACGUGCUAGGCAAGUGCUCUGCCACUGAGCUGCAGCCCCAGCCCUGAUGUUGUGAUUAUUGAUAUGGUUAGAUUUCAGUUUACCAUUUCACAUUUGUUUUCUGAUGGUUCUCUGGUCUGUUCCUCUGUUUGCUUUUUCCUGUUUGCAAUGCUGUAGUUUUCUGAGCAUUUUUGGUAUUCCAUUUUAGUUUUGCUCUUCUGACUUUACCUAUACCUCUUUGCAUAAUGCUUGUCGUGUUGUCCUAAGGAUCAAAAUGCAUACUGUGCUUUUACAGGCUGCUUUAAUCAGGAUGUGGGGUCCUUCCACCGUGUUCCCAGUAGUGCUGCCUUUUCCCGGCUGCCAGCAUCUUUCUUAGCGCCUGUGCAGGGCUCAGUGCCUGCCCGCUCACCCUUUGUGUCAGGCCCCUUGGGCCUGCUGGCAGCAGACUCUUGUGUUUCCUUCUAUUGAUGGAUUUAUUUCACCUUUAUUUGUGAAGGACACUUUCAAGAUAGAGUUCAGGCUGUCAGACCCCCACCCUGCCCAGCAUGUUAAGGUUGUGCUCUUCCUGUGACCUCCGUGGUCCUGAGGAGAGACCCACCGUUGUUCAGCGCACUGCCUGGAGGCCACUGCUGGUGGGCUUGCCUUCAGAGUUAGCCUUCAGCAGUUUGUUAAUGGGGAUCCCCGAGUGGAUUUCUUUGGGUUUAUUCUGUUGUAGGUUCACUUGGUUCUCGAAAGUAGCUUCACACUCUCACUGUGCCUGGGAAGCUAGCAGCCAGUAUUUUUGCACAGCACUCCUGCUCUGGUUAUUGUCCCCCCAGGUCCCCGGCUGUGGUUUGGUUCCGCCUUGUUUCAGCUGGGUGAUGCUAGUCGAUGCGGACAGGUGCACCUACAUGCUGUGCUGCAUCUGGACGACUCAAAAGAGUCUGGUCGUUUGAGUUUUGAUUGCUUUUUUUGUAGAGUCCACCAUUUCUGUGUAGAACUUUUGCUUCUCUGUUGUCUUGCUCAUGCUAUGUCUCUGCAUCCAUCGUGGUGCUGUGGUUGCUGCUCACACUUGUGGACUAUCUCACAUCUGUCUUCUCAUCUCAGCUGCUGUGCAGACUUUCCUUGCCAGGGGACAUUUUCACUGUUCUUCAUGUGUUGGGCAAUUCUGGAUUGUCUUCAAGAUGUUCUAAGCUUCCUGAGAGCUAGACUUGUCCCACCUUGUGUAAAUGCUGUCAUCUAGCAGGCCUCUGCUCUCGAGGUCCUCUCUGGGCUUGAAGCUGCCAGCGGGCUGUCGGACCUGAUUGUGACAAUCACUCUGCAGUAGGGGCCGAGCCUUGUGUUC
RNAcentral lists this long non-coding RNA (1824 nucleotides) under Marmota monax (woodchuck). Lineage: Eukaryota; Metazoa; Chordata; Mammalia; Rodentia; Sciuridae. The record is from RNAcentral.